Molecule: long non-coding RNA, 1774 nt
Organism: Mustela erminea (ermine)
Lineage: Eukaryota; Metazoa; Chordata; Mammalia; Carnivora; Mustelidae
Exons: 3
Source: RefSeq, a predicted model, not a curated record
UGGUAUGUGUCUCUCACAGCCUUCCCCUUCCUCCUGCCUCCCCUGCAUUCAUCUCCCACCCAGAUGGCAGCUUUCCCUGGGAUCACUCCCAAGACUGGUCUUCUGGUCCCUCCUCUGUGCUCCCUGGGACCCCGUACUGGCCCCUGUUGGGGAGUUUCUCAAACAACACUGACAUCCCCUGCUACUUGACCGUCUCUUCCGCUAGACCGUGUGCACCGAGGUGGCUCCCAGAGCUCGGACCCCCUGGCGGGACGGUGCCAUCAAGCCGACCUGAGGCCUGACUCAAGAUUCAACACAAAGGAAGAAGGAAAGGGACACAAAAGCCGCCUUAGCCACUGCCUGACAGAGAAGCUCAGAGCACCAACCCUUACGUUGUGAUUUCCAGCUGCUGGGCGCGUGACCCACACUCUCAUUUGAGCCUCGCAGCCUCCCCGCAAGGCAGACCAACAACUAAAUAUAGCCUUGGGAAGAAAGUUGUGGCAGCCCAAGAGACAAGCCAGCUCCCGGACACCUGCACCCACGGUGGGCACCCGACUCGGGACAGGACUGAGAAAGACCUGGUGGGGGUGGAGUUGCAAGCUAGGGAACACGUUCUAACCAGCCGGGAACAAGGAGUAGAAGUAGGCCAUACCAUCUAAUUAGAAAUUAAGUGCAAUUUUUUUCUUUCUCCAAGAAGGCCUCCCCCUCCGAGUUCCAGACACAUGACCAACGAGCUCACUUCUUCCAGGAAUAACCUUCUGUGAGGCCCUGGAGAGGCCUUUCCUGUCUGUGUACCCCACCGCCACGACCAAGCAAGGCCCUCCAGGCUCCCCAACCUACUGAGAGGGACCCCUAGCCCUGAUACAAUGCCUAGGGGAACAUCAAGGCCAGGAACUCCCAAGGGUCCUGGUGGCUCUGGCUAAUUGCCUCCUCCCUGCCCAGCACCCUGACCCAUGAGGUUCCUGAGAGAUCGAUGUAUCCUUCCCAGAGCAGCGCUCAUCACAGAAAUAUGAUUCAAGUCCCAGGUGUGACUUAAAAUUUCCUAGCAGCCACACUAAAAAAGGUAAGAAGAAAAAAGCUAAGAAGAAAAGGUAAGAAGUAUAUCAUUAGCUUUAAUGAUAUACUUUCAUAUAAAUAUAUCCAAGAAAAUGUCAUGUAAUCUACAUGAAAAUUAUCAAGAUAUUUUACAUUCUCUUUUCCAUAAGAAGGCUGCAAUGUCCCAUGUGAUUUCUACACUCAGAGCACAUCUUAAUUCAGAAUAACUACAUUUCAAGUAUUCAACAGCUACUGGCUAUUGAACUGGGCAGUGAAUUCUAGAAAAAUCUUUAAUUGCAGAGCAUAUCCAAAGAGGUGGGGAAUCUGGCCCAGUUACUAGCUCCCUGUGGGCCUAACAGGCACCCCUUGACCCCCUGACCUAUUUCUACCUAGUAGAACAAAGUUCCCUCUGGACUUUUUGGUUCAAAAUGCUCCAUACACAUAGUACCUGGAAGAGGUAGGAAGACAGGAAGUCUGGGGCCCUGGAAGUGCGAAGCCAGGGGCAGCCCUGUCCAGCUGAGUCUGGGCUGAUUUAGGGUGGGGGGGCUACCCUCUUCAGGGCUCUAUUUUGACCUGGGGAGUCUCUCUCUCUCUUUUCUCCUGAAUACUGAUGGAGUGGGGCACAGACCUACCAUUUAACAGAAUGUGGGAUCUUCUGGUGGUCACUGCCUCCACCCAAUACUACCCACACUGUCUUAAAAGGCUGAUUUAGGGGCGCCUGGGUGGCUCAGUUGCUAAAGCAUCCGACUCUUGAUUUCAG